AUUGAACGCUGGCGGCAGGCCUAACACAUGCAAGUCGAACGGUAACAGGAAGCAGCUUGCUGCUUCGCUGACGAGUGGCGGACGGGUGAGUAAUGUCUGGGAAACUGCCUGAUGGAGGGGGAUAACUACUGGAAACGGUAGCUAAUACCGCGUAACGUCGCAAGACCAAAGAGGGGGACCUUAGGGCCUCUUGCCAUCGGAUGUGCCCAGAUGGGAUUAGCUAGUAGGUGGGGUAACGGCUCACCUAGGCGACGAUCCCUAGCUGGUCUGAGAGGAUGACCAGCCACACUGGAACUGAGACACGGUCCAGACUCCUACGGGAGGCAGCAGUGGGGAAUAUUGCACAAUGGGCGCAAGCCUGAUGCAGCCAUGCCGCGUGUAUGAAGAAGGCCUUCGGGUUGUAAAGUACUUUCAGCGGGGAGGAAGGGAGUAAAGUUAAUACCUUUGCUCAUUGACGUUACCCGCAGAAGAAGCACCGGCUAACUCCGUG
RNAcentral lists this ribosomal RNA (490 nucleotides) under uncultured bacterium. RNAcentral describes it as "partial 16S ribosomal RNA". It matches the Rfam family "Bacterial small subunit ribosomal RNA", at positions 30 to 507 of the family's 1533-position model. The record is from RNAcentral.